Molecule: long non-coding RNA, 1312 nt
Filed under: Lotus japonicus
Lineage: Eukaryota; Viridiplantae; Streptophyta; Magnoliopsida; Fabales; Fabaceae
Description: long non-coding RNA (LJAP_LNC001618)
Source: RNAcentral
AAUAAUGUUACGAGUUCUAGAGCUAACUAUUGGUACUAGUAAAUACUGCACAGCUUCACUGGCUCACUGCUAACCUUCUUUCUAUACACCUUUGUUUAUUCUUCGAGACCUGCAAAGUUCAAGCCCUUUGAGCUUUGUCCUUUUCAAGGUCACCAUUCUCAGGUUUGAUCUUUUUCAUGUCGGAACCAGUCUUCCUUUUUCUGGUUUUAAGCGGCUUACCGGCAGAAUCUUUCCUGUCAACACCAAAAAUAUAUUUGAGAGCAGAUUCUACAGAUUCAGAUUUGAAGAUGCUGGCAGAAGUUUUACUGUCCGAAUCAUUAGAUUGAUGCGGUCAUGAUUGAAUUUCAACCGAAUUAAAUUUGGUAAAAUUGAUUAUGGUAAAAUGAGUUGAAAGUACAGUGAUAUAUGUUUGAAUACAUUAAUGAUAAAAGUGUUUUUUAUAGGGUAGUAUUGUGAAAUUCAGUUGUAAAAUCUCAAGUGAUUAUGUCUAUCCUAGAAGCUAGGAUUUGUAGCUUCAUCCUAGAAUUAAUUGUAAAACCAAACAUUUAAACACCAAAAAAUUGAUUCUAAUUCUGAUACUGGAGAAUCAAUAUAACGCUUACAAACGUGAAACCAAACAUUAUCUAGAUUAAAUAUUUGUGAAUCCCUAAUAUAUUGCCUAGUAUGCAGACUAACCUGGACUGAGAAUUGGUCUUUGCACCCUUAGCUGACUCCAACUCGGGAGUUUCUCUGCAUUUUUCUACCCUGCAUAUUAUGAAUAACUUGACAAUAUAAGCUUCAUAAAUCAGUUGAAGAUUAAUAAAAAAAUAGGUGGAUUGAACAAAACUGACAACACCAAUUUAGCGAUCAUAUAAGAUAAAAGGCCAGUUAUUGGUAUGAAAUCCAUGAUAAUUUGGUAUGCUAUAGAUACAAUAUAGUUCAAGGGAUUUGAAAUAACAUUUCAAAAAUAUACUUCUAGUUAGAGGUCCUUUCAAUUGAAACUGGAUUUAGAAAAAUAAACUGGCAAAAGUCCUUCACUUUGAUUUAAUAAGCUUAUAAGUUUUCUUUUUGAAAAAAGAUAGAUAUUAUGAAAGUUAAAACAAAGCAAAUAAUGACAACACCAAUAUAACGAUCAUAUAAGAUAAAAGGCCAGUUAUUGGUCACUGCUAACCUUCUUUCUAUACACCUUUGUUUAUUCUUCGAGACCUGCAAAGUUCAAGCCCUUUGAGCUUUGUCCUUUUCAAGGUCACCAUUCUCAGGUUUGAUCUUUUUCAUGUCGGAACCAGUCUUCCUUUUUCUGGUUUUAAGCGGCUUACCGGCAGAAUCUUUCCUG